UGACGAACCCGCGAUCGCACUCACAUCGCUCUUCUCCACUUGACUGCUGCUUCACCUGCUUGCGCCCUCGAUCUCGCCUCGCUGCUCGCCAUCACCGUAUCUGCCGACAUUCGCUGAGCGUUUUCUUUCUGCCGCCUUCACUGCUGCCGCCUCUUGCCAACGACCUCGAGCGCCGGAUGAACGGAACUCAAGGAGAGGCAUCUGCUCCCUAUCCCUGAGCAGUUUUCUGCUAAGAAAGCGCUCGUGUCCGUGGUUACGGAAGCGCAUCCUGAGACUUUGUGAGGAAUGGCGAAUAUCAUCACUCUGAAGAGUGCAUGGGAUGUUGACCGUCACAUUGUGCUGGACUCCGCAGACAAGCUGGUAUUAAUCCGAUUUAGCAGCUACACUUCCGCUGCGGCGGAAGCGGAGGAGUACAGUCGACAGGCGAAGCGUAGCACCGCAACUUCGACCCCCACAGCGGCCGAAGGAUCGUCGAAUUCGUCUUCGUCGGCGCUACCCACCCGCAAGCGCAGGCACGACGAUGCGGAUGGAAAUAGCGCAUGUGCGGUGACGUCGGCGACGACAGCCGCCCUCUUGUCAGCCAACGUUGACGAGCACUACCUGCGCACGCGUCAGAUGGACGCGUUGCUCAGCGAACUUGCACCCAAGGUGCGCAAGUACUGCACCAUUUACUUUGUGGACACCCGUGAGGUGACGGCUUUCAACGAACUCUACGAGCUGGGCCACGACCGUGACCCGUUCGCUGUCAUGUUCUUCUACCGAAAUCGCCACAUUCGAGUCGACGUCGGGACGGGCAACAAUAACAAGAUCAACUUCUUCGCCUUUGAGGACUUGUACGACUUUUUGCCCAUCGUAGAUGCCGCCUACAAGGCGGGUCGGCAGGGUCGGAGCAUCACCAGCUGUGAUCGCAAGUUCUCUACGGUGGCGCUGCGCCGAUAAAGCCGUGCAAGAGACAGAAGGGAACAUAUGGCCCAACCCCCAUUAUGCAUGGCGACACACACAUAUCGCAUCGUGUGCUGCCCCGUGACCUGAUUACCAGUGAAGGGCCACGCUCAGCCGGGCAUUUUAAGGCGCGUUGGCAGGCAUGAAAGGACGUGCAUUAAACAAAC
This 1109-nucleotide unclassified non-coding RNA is filed under the name Leishmania donovani. Its description in RNAcentral is "gene:LdHU3.23.1120(CDS-product:spliceosomal_U5_sn RNP-specific_protein_putative)". The record is from RNAcentral. Lineage: Eukaryota; Euglenozoa; Kinetoplastea; Trypanosomatida; Trypanosomatidae.